Molecule: transfer RNA, 73 nt
Filed under: Trichonephila inaurata madagascariensis
Lineage: Eukaryota; Metazoa; Arthropoda; Arachnida; Araneae; Nephilidae
Rfam family: tRNA
About the family: Transfer RNA (tRNA) molecules are approximately 80 nucleotides in length. Their secondary structure includes four short double-helical elements and three loops (D, anti-codon, and T loops).
Source: Rfam by way of RNAcentral
GUCCCAGUAACGCAAUGGAUAGUACGUUGGACUUCUAAUCCAAAGGUCGUGGGUUCGAAUCCCACCUGGGAUG